UACAGAGGUCUCAAGCGUUGUUCGGAUUCAUUGGGCGUAAAGGGUGCGUAGGUGGCGCUGUAAGUCGGGUGUGAAAUUUCGGAGCUUAACUCCGAAACUGCAUUCGAUACUGCGGUGCUUGAGGACUGGAGAGGAGACUGGGAAUUCAUGGUGUAGCAGUGAAAUGCGUAGAGAUCAUGAGGAAGACCAGUGGCGAAGGCGGGUCUCUGGACAGUUCCUGACACUGAGGCACGAAGGCCAGGGGAGCAAACGGG
RNAcentral lists this ribosomal RNA (254 nucleotides) under uncultured bacterium. RNAcentral's name for it is "partial 16S ribosomal RNA". It matches the Rfam family "Bacterial small subunit ribosomal RNA", at positions 524 to 776 of the family's 1533-position model. The record is from RNAcentral.